AACGGUCUAUACCUGCGGUACCUGCGGAGGGAUCAUUACUGAGUUUCACAACUCUCUAACCCUGUGUGAACUGAAGUCUGGUUGCUCAGGCAGGCGGCCCCCGGGGGGAGCCGCAGCUUCUCUGAAGCGCCUGCCGGAGGAUACCUAAACUCGUUUUAACAUAUAAUCUUCUGAGUAAUAAAAAAAAUGAAUCAAAACUUUCAGCAACGGAUCUCU
RNAcentral lists this unclassified non-coding RNA (216 nucleotides) under soil metagenome. Its description in RNAcentral is "partial contains 5.8S ribosomal RNA, internal transcribed spacer 2, and large subunit ribosomal RNA". The record is from RNAcentral.